Molecule: long non-coding RNA, 223 nt
Organism: Carassius auratus (goldfish)
Lineage: Eukaryota; Metazoa; Chordata; Actinopteri; Cypriniformes; Cyprinidae
Exons: 3
Source: RefSeq, a predicted model, not a curated record
AUCCCGCUGUUCAUCAGAAAUCACAUGUAAUGCACUGAGCACAUGAUUCAGGAUGUCAGUGUUGCAGUGCUUCUGUGGUUGUUUAUGGAUGUGCUGCCUGAUGCUGCUGGAAGUUCAUGUGUGUUGGGAUUUAAGGUCUUACAGCAGCACUGAGAGACGUGAUGGCGGAGCGCGUGCUAGUCAUCUACGGCGAUGGACGGGAACGUGCGCUAGCGUGGAGCUA